CGGGUGAGUAACACGUAAGUAAUCUACCUCUGAGUGGGGAAUAACGUCCGGAAACGGACGCUAAUACCGCAUAAUGCAGCGGCACCGCAAGGUGACAGUUGUUAAAGAUUUAUCGCUUGGAGAGGAGCUUGCGGCAGAUUAGCUAGUUGGUAAGGUAAUGGCUUACCAAGGCAACGAUCUGUAGCCGGUCUAAGAGGACGGUCGGUCACACUGACACUGAAUAACGGGUCAGACUCCUACGGGAGGCAGCAGUCGGGAAUUUUGGGCAAUGGGCGAAAGCCUGACCCAGCAACGCCGCGUGAAGGAUGAAGUAUUUCGGUAUGUAAACUUCGAAAGAAUGGGAAGAAUUAAUGACGGUACCAUUUAUAAGGUCCGGCUAACUACGUGCCAGCAGCCGCGGUAAUACGUAGGGACCAAGCGUUGUUCGGAUUUACUGGGCGUAAAGGGCGCGUAGGCGGCAUGACAAGUCACUUGUGAAAUCUCCGGGCUUAACCCGGAACGGCCAAGUGAUACUGUCGCGCUAGAGUGCGGAAGGGGCAAUCGGAAUUCUCGGUGUAGCGGUGAAAUGCGUAGAUAUCGAGAGGAAC
Molecule: ribosomal RNA, 587 nt
Filed under: uncultured bacterium
Lineage: Bacteria
Description: bacterial SSU rRNA
Rfam family: Bacterial small subunit ribosomal RNA
Source: RNAcentral